GGGAAACUGCGUACGGCUCAUUACACCAGCCUUAAUUUACUUGACCUUGACAACCUACUUGGAUAACUGUGGUAAUUCUAGAGCUAAUACAUGCACCAAAGCUCCGAUCCUCGCGGAGAGGAGCGCAUUUGUUCGCCACAAAACCAAGCGCCCAUCUGGGCGUCCAGUGCUGAACCAGAACAACUCAGCUGAUCGCACGGUCUUGUACCGGCGACGUGUCUUUCAAGUGUCUGCCUUAUCAACUUUCGAUGGUAGUGUACCUGACUACCAUGGUUGUGACGGGUAACGGAGGAUAAGGGUUCGACUCCGGAGAAGGGGCCUGAGAAAUGGCCACUACGUCUAAGGAUGGCAGCAGGCGCGCAAAUUACCCACUCUCAACGCGAGGAGGUAGUGACGAGAAAUAACGAGACCGUUCUCAUACGAGGCCGGUUAUUGGAAUGGGUACAAUUUAAACCCUUUAACGAGUAUCUAUGAGAGGGCAAGUCUGGUGCCAGCAGCCGCGGUAAUUCCAGCUCUCAAAA
This 521-nucleotide ribosomal RNA is filed under the name unidentified nematode Sourhope farm. Its description in RNAcentral is "SSU rRNA". It matches the Rfam family "Eukaryotic small subunit ribosomal RNA", at positions 81 to 596 of the family's 1831-position model. Lineage: Eukaryota; Metazoa; Nematoda. The record is from RNAcentral.